Populus trichocarpa (black cottonwood) is the source of this 1454-nucleotide RNA transcript. It is a transcript of the gene named NAC domain-containing protein 41, with no coding region annotated. The record is from RefSeq and is a predicted model, not a curated record. The transcript has 3 exons. Lineage: Eukaryota; Viridiplantae; Streptophyta; Magnoliopsida; Malpighiales; Salicaceae.
CAACAGCUGCAGCUGGAGUUGCACCUACCAUGUGCACCCAUCCAAGAUGUCAAAGGUUGGCAGCUACCAUUGUUGAAGAAGAGCUGGAGUUGGCAGCUAUUUUUAUUGAAGAAGAGUAGGAGCUGGUGGCACCAUUGUUGCCUAUAAAAGGGCACCGGGAGUGAGAGCAAAAUGAGAGAGAGCUGUGAGUGCAGUAGAGAGACCAAGAGAGAAAGUGAGGGGCUGCAAUGGCAGCAGCUGCAAGUGCAGCAAGAGAGCUGGGAGUAGAGUUUGAGUGAAGUGAUCCUCCUUCUCCAUGUAUUGUGUUGUAAUCAUUUCUCUAUCUCUAAAUAAUAUGGACUCUCCCGUGGAUGUAGGCGGUUUUGCCGAACCACGUUAAAUAUUGUGUCCCAGUGUGCUUAGCCUCCUUUUUGAGCAACUAUCAGUACACCACCGGUCGGAUUUCCCAACAGAGCAGUCUCCCAUCAGUUGGCAAAUAAAUUUGUAAAAUGCAAACUCUAAAAAAUGUUAGAAAAACUAGUUGCCCAGGUCUUCUGUCCUCAUGGGUUGUAAGAAUCUUGAGCCUGAGCCACACUGGAGACCUGGCAACCCGAGACAGACUACAGACCAGGCAGAUUUGCCCCAUAAACUAAAGACGAUUUUAAAGGCGGGGUGGCCAACGAGUGGUUUUUCUUUUCGACUAGGAGCGAGGACGCUGACAUUAUCUUAACAGAGAAUGGCUACUAUGCGGUUGACCCCGAAGGCACAGCCCCGAUCGCAUGGAAGGAUAAAAUUGUUGGUUAUGCAAAGACUCUGAAUUUCUAUCAAGGAAGCCCACCCAAUGGAUCUGAAACUGAUUGGAUGGUAGAAGAAUUCAGCGUUAAUGCUGAGUUUGUUCCAAUUAACAAAGAUGACCAUAGCACUCAAGAAAAGAAAGCCAACUUUGUUGUAUGCAAAAUUUAUCGAGUAGAAACAGAACCUGAAUGGGACAAGCAGUUCAAGUAAGAAGAAGAAACGAAGAAGCACAAGAGAGGAAAAUUUGGAAUCCCAGCAAGCUUGUUAAAUGAAGGCUCUCUAAUUAGUUUAGGAACAUCCUUAUAUCUUGUUUUAUGAUUAGUUUUCGAUUACAUAGGUCUAAAGCCAGCAAUGCUGCAGAAUUUUGACCGUAGUUUCUUCCCAUGUCUGAUUUAAAGAAACUGUUGUGCUUUUCAUGUCAUCAACCUUUUUUUUUGUUGUUGUUUGCUUAGCUAGGUAGGAAAGUGUUUGAUUAAUCUCUGGAUGGACUGAACAUUAUCCUGUCUGCAAGCAUUGAUUAUUGGCAAACAGAUGGCAAUUCAUACACAAGUUACAACUAGAACUUUUGCUCUUGGUGCUCUUCUCCUUUGUUUCAGCGGGCACUUGGAGCUUUCCUGUUACAACAUUUCAAAAUGAUUUUCUGAGUUUCAUAGCGAUGCAUCCUUUCCUAUUUCUCAGUA